UACGUAGGUGGCAAGCGUUGUCCGGAAUUAUUGGGCGUAAAGCGCGCGCAGGCGGCCUCCUAAGUCCGAUGUGAAAGCCCACGGCUCAACCGUGGAGGGUCAUUGGAAACUGGGGGACUUGAGUGCAGGAGAGAAGAGUGGAAUUCCACGUGUAGCGGUGAAAUGCGUAGAGAUGUGGAGGAACACCAGUGGCGAAGGCGGCGACCUGGGCCAAUAUUGACGCUGAGGUGCGAAAGCGUGGGGAGCAAACAGG
This 253-nucleotide ribosomal RNA is filed under the name uncultured bacterium. Its description in RNAcentral is "partial 16S ribosomal RNA". It matches the Rfam family "Bacterial small subunit ribosomal RNA", at positions 524 to 776 of the family's 1533-position model. The record is from RNAcentral.